UUGCCAGCAGCCGCGGUAAUACGUAGGGUGCAAGCGUUGUCCGGAAUCAUUGGGCGUAAAGAGCUCGUAGGCGGUCUGUCGCGUCUGCUGUGAAAACCUGGGGCUUAACCCCGGGCCUGCAGUGGGUACGGGCAGACUAGAGUGCGGUAGGGGAGACUGGAAUUCCUGGUGUAGCGGUGAAAUGCGCAGAUAUCAGGAGGAACACCGGUGGCGAAGGCGGGUCUCUGGGCCGUAACUGACGCUGAGGAGCGAAAGCAUGGGUAGCGAACAGGAUUAGAUACCCUGGUAGUCCAUGCCGUAAACGUUGGGCGCUAGGUGUGGGGCUCAUUCCACGAGUUCCGUGCCGCAGCAAACGCAUUAAGCGCCCCGCCUGGGGAGUACGGCCGCAAGGCUAAAACUCAAAGGAAUUGACGGGGCCCCGCACAAGCGGCGGAGCAUGCGGAUUAAUUCGAUGCAACGCGAAGAACCUUACCAAGGCUUGACAUGCAGGGAAAUCUCCCAGAGAUGGGAGGUCCGCAAGGGUCCUGCACAGGUGGUGCAUGGUUGUCGUCAGCUCGUGUCGUGAGAUGUUGGGUUAAGUCCCGCAACGAGCGCAACCCUCGUUCUAUGUUGCCAGCGGGUAAUGCCGGGGACUCAUAGGAGACUGCCGGGGUCAACUCGGAGGAAGGUGGGGAUGACGUCAAAUCAUCAUGCCCCUUAUGUCUUGGGCUUCACGCAUGCUACAAUGGCCAGUACAAAGGGCUGCGAGACCGUAAGGUGGAGCGAAUCCCAAAGAGCUGGUCUCAGUUCGGAUUGGGGUCUGCAACUCGACCCCAUGAAGUCGG
This 824-nucleotide ribosomal RNA is filed under the name uncultured Kineosporiaceae bacterium. RNAcentral describes it as "bacterial SSU rRNA". It matches the Rfam family "Bacterial small subunit ribosomal RNA", at positions 505 to 1329 of the family's 1533-position model. Lineage: Bacteria; Bacillati; Actinomycetota; Actinomycetes; Kineosporiales; Kineosporiaceae. The record is from RNAcentral.